Patella vulgata (common limpet) is the source of this 1323-nucleotide long non-coding RNA. RefSeq lists it as uncharacterized. The transcript has 7 exons. The record is from RefSeq and is a predicted model, not a curated record. NCBI's taxonomy places the organism in Eukaryota, Metazoa, Mollusca, Gastropoda, Patellidae.
ACGAUGUCCGGCAACAGUAAUCCAAGAUGGUGAUACAUACCAACCAGGCUUAAAGAACCAUCUUCACCCAGCAGAACCCGGUAUACAGACGGCUACCAAGAUAAAAGUUACAGCAAAGCAUGAAGCCAAAGGAAAUGUUUUUACCAAGUCAUGUUCCUCAAUAGCGGAGAGAGUUUUAUCCAGUGUCGGUUCUGCAGAAGAACCCAUUCAUAGCAGACCACCCAUGGCAGCACUUGUAAGGUCGCUACAAAGAACCCGACAGACUCUGCGACCAAAAGAUCCCACUGACGUGUCGUCAAGCCUUGACGAAGAUUUCAUUGAUCAUAGUGCACCGGGAUUUUAUCAAAAAAGAGUAAAAGUUGGGGAAAGGCGCCAUCACAUUUUUUGUACUGAUAGACAGAUGCAACUACUCGCACGCGCAAAAACUUGGUAUAUGGAUGCAACUUUUCGGGUGGUGAACAAGCCAUGGUCUCAGCUGUUUUCCAUCCACGCCUUCAUUAAGACUGGAGAGACCACCCGACAGUUACCAUUGGUGUUUUGUGUAAUGUCGGGUAAAAGCCAAGACGACUAUUAUAAGCAAUAAUUAUUGAGAAUUUACCAAGGACUCCAUUGGCAUUGAAUCGAAGAAAAACAGUUUCAAUAUUGGAUGUAUAUGCAAAUCACCCAGAAAAAGAUCAUGUAAUUACAAAAGAAAUUAUAAAAGAAAAAAAUGGAAGAAGAAAUGGCUGGAAAAAAUGAUGAUAGAGCAGCUUUUUCUUGUUACCCACCUCGGAAGAUCAAGUUGGAAAGGGCUAUUGAUAUUGUGGAGACGUUUUCUCACAGAUCUUGCUUAUCAGACAAAGACUAUGCUGGAACACCAUUGAAAGAGUAUUUGCUGUAUGAUAACAACAAGAAAACCCAAGCAUCAAUUUAUUUUAUACUUCUGGGAAAGAAUGCAUUUGACCCAAUUUUUAAAUAUUUAUUUUUUGUUAUUAAUGUUAACUUUUCUUCCAAAACACAAUUAGAUUUUAAUUCUCUUCAGAAAUGUAUGUAUAAUAUAGCAAGUAAAGUGACAUAUAAAUCACUUAGAAUUUGGUCAGAAAUCAUAAAGUAUUUAAUAGGCAUUACUAGAAACCAAAUGUAGAUCAAAUACACCCGGAAUUACAAAAAACCUUGACCUACAUAAAGGUGACUUUCCCUUGCUUAUGAAAUGAAAUACGGUUUAGUAUCCUACUUUUCUGUGUUCUUAGAGUGAUUCUGCCCUACACCCUACUCUUAUAUAAAAUAUUGCAACUGUCAAGGGUUCUUUAACGGGAACCCGGGGGGGGGGGAGGCAAUGAUUAA